This 69-nucleotide transfer RNA is filed under the name Urocitellus parryii (Arctic ground squirrel). RNAcentral describes it as "Spermophilus parryii (Arctic ground squirrel) tRNA". It matches the Rfam family "tRNA". From Rfam's summary of the family: Transfer RNA (tRNA) molecules are approximately 80 nucleotides in length. The record is from Rfam by way of RNAcentral. RNAcentral also lists the same sequence under 1 other name. Lineage: Eukaryota; Metazoa; Chordata; Mammalia; Rodentia; Sciuridae.
GGGGCUGUGGCUCAGUGGUAGAGCACUCACCUAGCAUGUGCAAGGCCCUGGGUUCAAUCCUCAGCACCA